Molecule: ribosomal RNA, 253 nt
Filed under: uncultured bacterium
Lineage: Bacteria
Description: partial 16S ribosomal RNA
Rfam family: Bacterial small subunit ribosomal RNA
Source: RNAcentral
GACGGAGGAUGCAAGCGUUAUCCGGAAUUAUUGGGCGUAAAGCGUCCGCAGGUGGCAUUUCAAGUCUGCUGUCAAAGACCGGGGCUUAACCCCAGAAAGGCAGUGGAAACUGAAAAGCUAGAGAUAGGUAGGGGCAGAGGGAAUUCCCAGUGUAGCGGUGAAAUGCGUAGAGAUUGGGAAGAACACCGGUGGCGAAGGCAGCCCCCUGGGCCGACACUGACGCUCAGGCACGAAAGCCAGGGGAGCAAAAGGG